GAGAUUGAAAACAAUUUUAGGAAAAAUGGAUGAAAAUUUGGAUUCGUAAGGUGUUUUUGAAAAAAAAAUCAGAAACUAUGGAUCAAAAUACAAUUAAGAAAAAUUUUGCCACGUAUGACCGCCUAGUCAGCAGUCUUGAUGAACCGGAACACGCUGCGUAGCAAGGCACGCUGACUCGGUGCCACGCGGGAGGCCAUGCUGGUGAUCCGUGUACCCCCCAAUCGGACGACCGAGAAACAUUCUCGCGCGCGUGGACAGUCGGAAUCCGUUCCCUCCUCAGGCGCGAUCGGACGGUCGUGAUAAAUGCGAUCGGACGGUCGAGAUCAAAUACGAUGAAUGGACCAAAUUAACACGAGACAGGUAUAAAUAUUUCGCAUCAUACUGAAUCCAAACCCUAGCCGCCAGCCUCCCGUCGGAAAAGAAGAACCAAUCGCCAGAGAAGGGAGCCGACCGUCAACCGCUGCCGCGCUGGAGCCAUCUCCGAUCGUCAAAAAUGGUAAAAAUUCUCCUAUCCGCUCCGAAUUUGAUUCUAAGCACCCCUAUAACCAAAUCGGAGCAAAGAAACGGCGGGUGAGCUGAAAAUCGCGGGUAAAGUCCAACGGCGCCGCCGUGGGCAAAACCCGCAACCGCAUCCAAUAAGCCCCUUCCCAUUUCCUGUUUCGUGCAAUUUUUUCACCGUUAUGUUCAUCAUUCUGUUUUCUACAGGUUGACUGAAGAAAAACACUCAACUGCGAAAGUGAGCUAGCGGAGCCGCCGCAUCGUAAAAUUCCACCACCGAUAAGUUUUCGUUUUUUUAUUUUUUUCGGCCAACCGAGUCCCUCUAACGUGUUUUUUGCAGGGAUAUGUAUAAAAUCGGCCGAACCCGGCUAGAAUAGGGCGAAAACGGUCAGGUCGAGGCAAACCACCGCCGCAGGCAGCAGUGUCGUCGUCGGAGCAUGGUGGUGCUGCCGUGCCGGAACCCCAAAUUAGCCAGAAAGAGUUUUUUUUUCAUCGAUUUUUGAUUUGUAGGGUAUUUUUAGGGACG
RNAcentral lists this long non-coding RNA (1024 nucleotides) under Carica papaya (papaya). RNAcentral's name for it is "long non-coding RNA (CPAP_LNC013776)". Lineage: Eukaryota; Viridiplantae; Streptophyta; Magnoliopsida; Brassicales; Caricaceae. The record is from RNAcentral.